RNAcentral lists this ribosomal RNA (467 nucleotides) under uncultured bacterium. RNAcentral describes it as "partial 16S ribosomal RNA". It matches the Rfam family "Bacterial small subunit ribosomal RNA", at positions 29 to 507 of the family's 1533-position model. The record is from RNAcentral.
ACGAACGCUGGCGGCGUGCUUAACACAUGCAAGUCGAACGGAAAGGCCCUGCUUUUGUGGGGUGCUCGCGUGGCGAACGGGUGAGUAACACGUGAGUAACCUGCCCUUGACUUUGGGAUAACUUCAGGAAACUGGGGCUAAUACCGGAUAGGAGCUCCUGCUGCAUGGUGGGGGUUGGAAAGUUUCGGCGGUUGGGGAUGGACUCGCGGCUUAUCAGCUUGUUGGUGGGGUAGUGGCUUACCAAGGCUUUGACGGGUAGCCGGCCUGAGAGGGUGACCGGCCACAUUGGGACUGAGAUACGGCCCAGACUCCUACGGGAGGCAGCAGUGGGGAAUAUUGCACAAUGGGCGGAAGCCUGAUGCAGCAACGCCGCGUGCGGGAUGACGGCCUUCGGGUUGUAAACCGCUUUCGCCUGUGACGAAGCGUGAGUGACGGUAAUGGAUAAAGAAGCACCGGCUAACUACGUG